GCUAAUAACUUGGUAAACCAGGUAUUUUUGGACUGAAUACAUAGGUCUAAAAAAGCAAACCCGGGGAACUGAAACAUCUAAGUACCCGGAGGAAAGGAAAUCAAUAUGAUACUCCCCUAGUAGCGGCGAGCGAACGGGGACCAGCCGAGCUGUGAUUGUGAUUAGAAUGGUCUGGAAUGGCCAACCAUAGUGGGUGACAGUCCCGUAUAAGAAGCAUGAUCGGACGUAUUAAGUAGGGCGGAACACGUGAAAUUCUGUCUGAAGAUCGGAGGACCACCUUCGAAGGCUAAGUACUCCUUACUGACCGAUAGCGAACCAGUACCGUGAGGGAAAGGUGAAAAGCACCCCGACGAGGGGAGUGAAACAGUACCUGAAACCGAACGCCUACAAUCAGUUGGAGGGCCCUUGAGGCCUGACAGCGUACCUUUUGUAUAAUGGGUCAUCGACUUAGUGUAUCUAGCAAGCUUAAGCCGUUAGGUGUAGGCGCAGCGAAAGCGAGUCUUAAUAGGGCGAUUGAGUUAGAUGCAUUAGACCCGAAACCGAGUGAUCUAGGCAUGUCCAGGAUGAAGGUAAGGUAACACUUACUGGAGGUCCGAACCCACACCUGUUGAAAAAGGUCGGGAUGAGGUGUGCCUAGGGGUGAAAGGCCAAUCAAACUCGGAGAUAGCUGGUUCUCUGCGAAAUCUAUUUAGGUAGAGCGUCGGACGAAUACCCUCGGGGGUAGAGCACUGAAUGGGUAAUGGGGGCCCACAGCCUUACUGAUCCUAAUCAAACUCCGAAUACC
Molecule: ribosomal RNA, 784 nt
Filed under: uncultured bacterium
Lineage: Bacteria
Description: bacterial LSU rRNA
Rfam family: Bacterial large subunit ribosomal RNA
Source: RNAcentral